UAUUUGUUGUAACUAUCAUCAUGGUCUAAACUAGGUGUUCAGGGUAGCAUCAUGGUCUACACUAGGUGUUCAGGGUAUCACCAAGGUCUAAACUAGGUGUUCAGGGUAUCAUCAUGGUCUAAACUAGGUGUUCAGGGUAUCACCAAGGUCUACACUAGGUGUUCAGGGUAUCAUCAUGGUCUACACUAGGUGAUCAGGGUAUCAUCAUGGUCUACACUAGGUGUUCAGGGUAUCAUCAUGGUCUACACUAGGUGUUCAGGGUAUCAUCAUGGUCUUGACAAGGUGUUCAGGGUAUCAUCAUGGUCUACACUAGGUGUUCAGGGUAUCACCAAGGUCUAAACUAGGUGUUCAGGGUAUCACUACGGUCUACACUAGGUGUUCAGGAUAUCAUCAUGGUCUUGACAAGGUGUUCAGGGUAUCAUCAUGGUCUACACUAGGUGUUCAGGGUAUCACUACGGUCAACACUAGGUGUUCAGGGUAUCACCAUGGUCUACACUAGGUGUUCAGGGUAUCAUCAUGGUCUACACUAGGUGUUCAGGGUAUCAUCAUGGUCUACACUAGGUGUUCAGGGUAUCAUCAUGGUCUACACUAGGUGUUCAGGGUAUCAUCAUGGUCUACACUAGGUGUUCAGGGUAUCACCAUGGUCUACACUAGGUGUUCAGGGUAUCAUCAUGGUCUUGACAAGGUGUUCAGGGUAUCACCAUGGUCUACACUAGGUGUUCAGGGUAUCACCAUGGUCUAAACUAGGUGUUCAGGGUAUCAUCAUGGUCUACACUAGGUGUUCAGGGUAUCACCAUGGUCUACACUAGGUGUUCAGGGUAUCAUCAUGGUCUACACUAGGUGUUCAGGGUAUCAUCAUGGUCUAAACUAGGUGUUCAGGGUAUCAUCAUGGUCUACACUAGGUGUUCAGGGUAUCACCAUGGUUUACACUAGGUGUUCAGGGUAUCACCAUGGUCUACACUAGGUGUUCAGGGUAUCAUCAUGGUCUACACUAGGUGUUCAGGGUAUCAUCAUGGUCUACACUAGGUGUUCAGGGUAUCAUCAUGGUCUACACUAGGUGUUCAGGGUAUCAUCAUGGUCUACACUAGGUGUUCAGGGUAUCACCAUGGUCUACACUAGGUGUUCAGGGUAUCAUCAUGGUCUACACUAGGUGUUCAGGGUAUCAUCAUGGUCUAAACUAGGUGUUCAGGGUAUCAUCAUGGUCUACACUAAGUGUUCAGGGUAUCAUCAUGGUCUACACUAGGUGUUCAGGGUAUCAUCAUGGUCUACACUAGGUGUUCAGGGUAUCAUCGUGGUCUACACUAGGUGUUCAGGGUAUCAUCAUGGUCUACACUAGGUGUUCAGGGUAUCACCAUGGUCUUAACUAGGUGUUACCUAGUUACCUUGUUACCAAGGUUACCACAACAUCUCAAGGGGAGAGAAGUAUUGUUCUAA
This is a long non-coding RNA of Oncorhynchus keta (chum salmon), 1434 nucleotides long. RefSeq lists it as uncharacterized. The record is from RefSeq and is a predicted model, not a curated record. Lineage: Eukaryota; Metazoa; Chordata; Actinopteri; Salmoniformes; Salmonidae. The transcript is spliced from 4 exons.